This 202-nucleotide ribosomal RNA is filed under the name uncultured Streptococcus sp. RNAcentral's name for it is "partial 16S ribosomal RNA". It matches the Rfam family "Bacterial large subunit ribosomal RNA", at positions 1068 to 1274 of the family's 2925-position model. The record is from RNAcentral. Lineage: Bacteria; Bacillati; Bacillota; Bacilli; Lactobacillales; Streptococcaceae.
AGGGGCAUGUGGGGUUGCACAGACAACUAGGAUGUUAGCUUAGAAGCAGCUAUUCAUUCAAAGAGUGCGUAAUAGCUCACUAGUCGAGUGACCCUGCGCCGAAAAUGUACCGGGGCUGAAACAAUUUACCGAAGCUGUGGAUCCCUUAGGGGAUGGUAGGAGAGCGUUCUAUGUGCGCAGAAGGUGUACCGCAAGGAGCGCU